AUUGAACGCUGGCGGCAGGCCUAACACAUGCAAGUCGAGCGGAUGAAUGGAGCUUGCUCCUGGAUUCAGCGGCGGACGGGUGAGUAAUGCCUAUGAAUCUGCCUGGUUGUUGGGGAUAACGUCCGGAUACGGGCGCUAAUACCGCAUACGUCCUUAUGGAGAAAGUGGGGGAUCUUCGGACCUCACGCUAUCAGAUGAGCCUAGGUCGGAUUAGCUAGUUGGUGGGGUAAAGGCCUACCAAGGCGACGAUCCGUAACUGGUCUGAGAGGAUGAUCAGUCACACUGGAACUGAGACACGGUACAGACUCCUACGGGAGGCAGCAGUGGGGAAUAUUGGACAAUGGGCGAAAGCCUGAUCCAGCCAAGCCGCGUGUGUGAAGAAGGUCUUCGGAUUGUAAAGCACUUUAAGUUGGGAGGAAGGGCAGUAAGUUAAUACCUUGCUGUUAUGACGUUACCAACAGAAUAAGCACCGGCUAACUUCGUG
Molecule: ribosomal RNA, 484 nt
Filed under: uncultured bacterium
Lineage: Bacteria
Description: partial 16S ribosomal RNA
Rfam family: Bacterial small subunit ribosomal RNA
Source: RNAcentral